Molecule: ribosomal RNA, 467 nt
Filed under: uncultured bacterium
Lineage: Bacteria
Description: partial 16S ribosomal RNA
Rfam family: Bacterial small subunit ribosomal RNA
Source: RNAcentral
GACGAACGCUGGCGGCGUGCUUAACACAUGCAAGUCGAACGGAAAGGCCCUGCUUUUGUGGGGUGCUCGAGUGGCGAACGGGUGAGUAACACGUGAGUAACCUGCCCUUGACUUUGGGAUAACUUCAGGAAACUGGGGCUAAUACCGGAUAGGAGCUCCUGCUGCAUGGUGGGGGUUGGAAAGUUUCGGCGGUUGGGGAUGGACUCGCGGCUUAUCAGCUUGUUGGUGGGGUAGUGGCUUACCAAGGCUUUGACGGGUAGCCGGCCUGAGAGGGUGACCGGCCACAUUGGGACUGGGGUACGGCCCAGACUCCUACGGGAGGAAGCAGUGGGAAAUAGUGCACAAGGGGCGGAAGCCUGAUGCAACAACGCCGCGUGGGGGAAGACGGCCUUCGGGUUGUAAACCGUUUUCGCCUGUGACGACGCGUGAGGGACGGGAAUGGGGAAAGAAGCACCGGCUAACUACGU